This 484-nucleotide ribosomal RNA is filed under the name uncultured bacterium. RNAcentral describes it as "partial 16S ribosomal RNA". It matches the Rfam family "Bacterial small subunit ribosomal RNA", at positions 28 to 523 of the family's 1533-position model. The record is from RNAcentral.
GAUGAACGCUGGCGGCGUGCUUAACACAUGCAAGUCGAACGGUGAAGCAGGAGCUUGCUCUUGUGGAUCAGUGGCGAACGGGUGAGUAACACGUGAGCAACCUGCCCCUGACGCUGGGAUAAGCGCUGGAAACGGCGUCUAAUACUGCAUAUGUGAUGUGACCGCAUGGUCUGCAUCUGGAAAGCAUUUGCGUUGGGGAUGGGCGCGCGGCCUAUCAGCUUGUUGGUGAGUUAAUGGCCCACCAAGGCGUCGACGGGUAGCCGGCCGGAGAGGGUGACCGGCCACACUGGGACUGAGACACGGCCCAGACUCCUACGGGAGGCAGCAGUGGGGAAUAUUGCACAAUGGGCGGAAGCCUGAUGCAGCAACGCCGCGUGAGGGAUGACGGCCUUCGGGUUGUAAACCUCUUUUAGCAGGGAAGAAGCGAAAGUGACGGUACCUGCAGAAAAAGCACCGGCUAACUACGUGCCAGCCGCCGCAGUAA